CGGCCGCGGUAUCCUGACCGUGCAAAGGUAGCAUAAUCAUUUGUUCCUUAAUUAGGGACUAGUAUGAAUGGCCACACGAGGGUUUAACUGUCUCUUAUUUCUAAUCAGUGAAAUUGACCUUCCCGUGAAGAGGCGGGAAUAAUAAAAUAAGACGAGAAGACCCUAUGGAGCUUAAAUUAUAUAACCCUGGGAUAUAGAUUUCGGUUGGGGUGACCUCGGAGUAUAAAAUAACCUCCGAACCAAGAUUAACAAAUCGAAGUCAAUCCAAUUGAUCAACGAAACAAGUUACCCUAGGGAUAACAGCGCAAUCCUAUUCAAGAGUCCCUAUCGACAAUAGGGUUUACGACCUCGAUGUUGGAUCAGGACAUCCUAAUGGUGCAGCAGCU
RNAcentral lists this ribosomal RNA (386 nucleotides) under Myosorex cafer (Dark-footed forest shrew). RNAcentral's name for it is "partial 16S ribosomal RNA". It matches the Rfam family "Bacterial large subunit ribosomal RNA", at positions 1928 to 2563 of the family's 2925-position model. Lineage: Eukaryota; Metazoa; Chordata; Mammalia; Eulipotyphla; Soricidae. The record is from RNAcentral.